UACAGAGGGUGCGAGCGUUAAUCGGAAUUACUGGGCGUAAAGCGCACGUAGGCGGAUCUUUAAGUCAGGGGUGAAAUCCUGGAGCUCAACUCCAGAACUGCCUUUGAUACUGGGGAUCUCGAGUCCGGAAGAGGUGAGUGGAACUCCGAGUGUAGAGGUGAAAUUCGUAGAUAUUCGGAAGAACACCAGUGGCGAAGGCGGCUCACUGGUCCGGUACUGACGCUGAGGUGCGAAAGCGUGGGGAGCAAACAGG
Molecule: ribosomal RNA, 253 nt
Filed under: uncultured bacterium
Lineage: Bacteria
Description: partial 16S ribosomal RNA
Rfam family: Bacterial small subunit ribosomal RNA
Source: RNAcentral